RNAcentral lists this ribosomal RNA (1410 nucleotides) under Synechococcus sp. BE0807K. Its description in RNAcentral is "bacterial SSU rRNA". It matches the Rfam family "Bacterial small subunit ribosomal RNA". The record is from RNAcentral. Lineage: Bacteria; Bacillati; Cyanobacteriota; Cyanophyceae; Synechococcales; Synechococcaceae.
GGGGCUAGUGGCGGACGGGUGAGUAACGCGUGGGAAUCUGCCCUCAGGAGGGGGAUAACGGCCGGAAACGGCCGCUAAUACCCCAUAUGCCGAGAGGUGAAAUGAAUUUCGCCUGAGGAUGAGCCCGCGUCUGAUUAGCUAGUUGGUGGGGUAAUGGCCCACCAAGGCGACGAUCAGUAGCUGGUCUGAGAGGAUGAUCAGCCACACUGGGACUGAGACACGGCCCAGACUCCUACGGGAGGCAGCAGUGGGGAAUUUUCCGCAAUGGGCGAAAGCCUGACGGAGCAACGCCGCGUGAGGGAUGAAGGCCUCUGGGCUGUAAACCUCUUUUCUCAAGGAAGAAGACAUGACGGUACUUGAGGAAUAAGCCACGGCUAAUUCCGUGCCAGCAGCCGCGGUAAUACGGGAGUGGCAAGCGUUAUCCGGAAUUAUUGGGCGUAAAGCGUCCGCAGGCGGCCUUGUAAGUCUGUCGUUAAAGCGUGGAGCUUAACUCCAUUUCAGCGAUGGAAACUACAAGGCUUGAGUGUGGUAGGGGCAGAGGGAAUUCCCGGUGUAGCGGUGAAAUGCGUAGAUAUCGGGAAGAACACCAGUGGCGAAGGCGCUCUGCUGGGCCAUAACUGACGCUCAUGGACGAAAGCCAGGGGAGCGAAAGGGAUUAGAUACCCCUGUAGUCCUGGCCGUAAACGAUGAACACUAGGUGUCGGGGGAAUCGACCCCCUCGGUGUCGUAGCUAACGCGUUAAGUGUUCCGCCUGGGGAGUACGCACGCAAGUGUGAAACUCAGAGGAAUUGACGGGGGCCCGCACAAGCGGUGGAGUAUGUGGUUUAAUUCGAUGCAACGCGAAGAACCUUACCAGGGUUUGACAUCCUGCGAAUCCCUUGGAAACGAGGGAGUGCCUUCGGGAGCGCAGAGACAGGUGGUGCAUGGCUGUCGUCAGCUCGUGUCGUGAGAUGUUGGGUUAAGUCCCGCAACGAGCGCAACCCACGUCUUUAGUUGCCAGCAUUCAGUUGGGCACUCUAGAGAGACCGCCGGUGAUAAACCGGAGGAAGGUGUGGAUGACGUCAAGUCAUCAUGCCCCUUACAUCCUGGGCUACACACGUACUACAAUGCUACGGACAAAGGGUUGCAAGCUCGCGAGAGUUAGCUAAUCCCAUAAACCGUGGCUCAGUUCAGAUCGUAGGCUGCAACUCGCCUACGUGAAGGAGGAAUCGCUAGUAAUCGCAGGUCAGCAUACUGCGGUGAAUACGUUCCCGGGCCUUGUACACACCGCCCGUCACACCAUGGAAGUUGGCCAUGCCCGAAGUCGUUACUCCAACCCUUGUGGAGGAGGACGCCGAAGGUGGGGCUGAUGACUGGGGUGAAGUCGUAACAAGGUAGCCGUACCGGAAGGUGCGGCUGGAUCACCUCCUA